This 686-nucleotide ribosomal RNA is filed under the name uncultured Bacilli bacterium. Its description in RNAcentral is "bacterial SSU rRNA". It matches the Rfam family "Bacterial small subunit ribosomal RNA", at positions 61 to 719 of the family's 1533-position model. Lineage: Bacteria; Bacillati; Bacillota; Bacilli. The record is from RNAcentral.
GUCGAACGCUUUUUCUUUCACCGGAGCUUGCUCCACCGAAAGAAAAGGAGUGGCGAACGGGUGAGUAACACGUGGGUAACCUGCCCAUCAGAAGGGGAUAACACUUGGAAACAGGUGCUAAUACCGUAUAACAAUCGAAACCGCAUGGUUUCGGUUUGAAAGGCGCUUUUGCGUCACUGAUGGAUGGACCCGCGGUGCAUUAGCUAGUUGGUGAGGUAACGGCUCACCAAGGCAACGAUGCAUAGCCGACCUGAGAGGGUGAUCGGCCACAUUGGGACUGAGACACGGCCCAAACUCCUACGGGAGGCAGCAGUAGGGAAUCUUCGGCAAUGGACGCAAGUCUGACCGAGCAACGCCGCGUGAGUGAAGAAGGUUUACGGAUCGUAAAACUCUGUUGUUAGAGAAGAACAAGGAUGAGAGUAGAAUGUUCAUCCCUUGACGGUAUCUAACCAGAAAGCCACGGCUAACUACGUGCCAGCAGCCGCGGUAAUACGUAGGUGGCAAGCGUUGUCCGGAUUUAUUGGGCGUAAAGCGAGCGCAGGCGGUUUCUUAAGUCUGAUGUGAAACGCCCCCGGCUCAACCGGGGAGGGUCAUUGGAAACUGGGAAACUUGAGUGCAGAAGAGGAGAGUGGAUUCCAUGUGUAGCGGUGAAAUGCGUAGAUAUAUGGAGGAACACCAGUGGCGAA